RNAcentral lists this non-coding RNA (46 nucleotides) under Schistosoma mansoni. Lineage: Eukaryota; Metazoa; Platyhelminthes; Trematoda; Strigeidida; Schistosomatidae. The record is from RNAcentral.
GCCCUGCUGAGGAGUCACACAAUAAGACGAAACGGCCGUCCAGUGC